This 91-nucleotide small nuclear RNA is filed under the name Echinops telfairi (small Madagascar hedgehog). The record is from RNAcentral. Lineage: Eukaryota; Metazoa; Chordata; Mammalia; Afrosoricida; Tenrecidae.
GUGCUUGCUUCAGUGGCACAUAGAUACAGAGACCAGCAUGGCCCCUGUGCCCAAGGGCGACACACAAAUUCGUGAAGCACUCCAUAUUUCU